GGAUGUGAAGGCGAUCUGGCUGCGACAUCUGUCACCCCAUUGAUCACCAGGGUUGAUUUGGCUGAUCUGGCUGGCUAGGCAGGUGUCCCCUUCCUCCCGCACCGCUCCAUGUGCAUCCCUCCUGAAGCUGCCCCCUCGGUGGAAGAGGAUGACCAUCCCAGAUAGAAGGAGUGUACUGUUCUUCGGUCAAGGGAAUACGAUAGCUGCGCUCCCUUGCUAGAACUUCCAAUAAUGGGAGUCAUAGUCAACAUCUAGAGCGUACCAUGCUAGCUACCCCUGUUGUAUUGAAUUUGAUU
Non-coding RNA from Podarcis lilfordi (Lilford's wall lizard), 296 nucleotides. The record is from the annotation of a GenBank genome assembly. Lineage: Eukaryota; Metazoa; Chordata; Lepidosauria; Squamata; Lacertidae.